RNAcentral lists this ribosomal RNA (490 nucleotides) under uncultured bacterium. RNAcentral's name for it is "partial 16S ribosomal RNA". It matches the Rfam family "Bacterial small subunit ribosomal RNA", at positions 30 to 507 of the family's 1533-position model. The record is from RNAcentral.
AUUGAACGCUGGCGGCAGGCCUAACACAUGCAAGUCGAACGGUAACAGGAAGCAGCUUGCUGCUUCGCUGACGAGUGGCGGACGGGUGAGUAAUGUCUGGGAAGCUGCCUGAUGGAGGGGGAUAACUACUGGAAACGGUAGCUAAUACAGCAUAAUGUCGCAAGACCAAAGAGGGGGACCUUCGGGCCUCUUGCCAUCGGAUGUGCCCAGAUGGGAUUAGCUUGUUGGUGGGGUAACGGCUCACCAAGGCGACGAUCCCUAGCUGGUCUGAGAGGAUGACCGGCCACACUGGAACUGAGACACGGUCCCGACUCCUACGGUAGGCAGCAGUGGCGAAUAUUGCACAAUAGGCGCAAGCCUGAUGCAGCCAUGCCGCGUGUAUGAAGAAGGCCUUCGGGUUGUAAAGUACUUUCAGCGGGGAGGAAGGGAGUAAAGUUAAUACCUUUGCUCAUUGACGUUACCCGCAGAAGAAGCACCGGCUAACUCCGUG